Molecule: unclassified non-coding RNA, 777 nt
Filed under: Leishmania donovani
Lineage: Eukaryota; Euglenozoa; Kinetoplastea; Trypanosomatida; Trypanosomatidae
Description: gene:unknown
Source: RNAcentral
CUUGAUGCGCAUUGUUUCAAAACGCACGCGAAUAGCAACGUAUGACUGAGCAGUCAUCAAUGUAACUGCGAACAAAGACUUUGGCAAUCACGACGAUCAUUCCCCCGAACUCCCUCCAAUCUUCUUUCAACGUUGCGAGCCUCGCCUUCCGAAACGGCCUGCUUGCUUUUCAGAAUGGUUUCCCUGCUCGUUCAUAUGAGUGCUCUGUGCACCCCGUCUCUCAUAAUGCUCGCCUAGCUAAGUUGUCACGCCAUAUUAGCGUCUUUUAUUGUUCCCCCUUCUUCCAUGUUGCGGUGACUCUUCUCGGCUUCUUUACCUUUUUUUUUGGUCUUUGUAUGUGUGGUGCUUUCUGUCUGUUUCACCAGCUAUUCGUACUCUCUUUAGGACGUAAAACGGUGCAUCUCUCUCUCUCUCUCUCCCACUUUGCUCACGAAUGCUGUGUACUACCGUGAAGACGCUCCUUGGACAGAGAGUGCUGCGGACUCACUCUUCGCCCCUCCUCUCCUCCGUCCCACGCCAGCGAGCGAGUGUACCGGUCCAUGCGGAGGGCGAGCCACUCAGCUCUUCUUUGUGUGCAUCGCAUGCACGCUUUUCUCGGUGCACAGGGGUGCGACGAUGUCGGGGGACGCGCUGGGGCCUCUCUUUUCGUUGACCAGUGGAGGAGCGCUCUUUGCUCUGCCCGCGAGUGUUCAUUCGCGUUUACGUUGUGGCUGCGAAUGGGCCGCAGUGACCUUGUGGCCCCCUCUCUCUCGUUCUUUCCGCUGCCCGUGUCUACAG